This 253-nucleotide ribosomal RNA is filed under the name uncultured bacterium. RNAcentral's name for it is "partial 16S ribosomal RNA". It matches the Rfam family "Bacterial small subunit ribosomal RNA", at positions 524 to 776 of the family's 1533-position model. The record is from RNAcentral.
UACGUAGGGUGCAGGCGUUAAUCGGAAUUACUGGGCGUAAAGGGCGCGUAGGCGGUCCUGAUCGUCGGAUGUGAAAGGCCUGGGCUCAACCUGGGAACUGCAUCCGAUACGGCGGGACUGGAGUGUGGGAGAGGUUGGUGGAAUUCCCAGUGUAGAGGUGAAAUUCGUAGAUAUUGGGAAGAACACCGGUGGCGAAGGCGGCCAACUGGACCACAACUGACGCUGAGGCGCGAAAGCGUGGGGAGCAAACAGG